Transfer RNA from Ovis aries (sheep), 72 nucleotides. It matches the Rfam family "tRNA". Rfam says of the family: Transfer RNA (tRNA) molecules are approximately 80 nucleotides in length. The record is from Rfam. Lineage: Eukaryota; Metazoa; Chordata; Mammalia; Artiodactyla; Bovidae.
UUCCUUGUAGCUCAGUUGGUAAAGAACCUGCCUGCGGUGCAGGAGACCCAGGUUCGAUUCCUAGGUUGGGAA